Molecule: long non-coding RNA, 349 nt
Filed under: Zea mays
Lineage: Eukaryota; Viridiplantae; Streptophyta; Magnoliopsida; Poales; Poaceae
Description: long non-coding RNA (ZMAY_LNC003766)
Source: RNAcentral
AGACAUGAUGCUAAAAGUUCCCAACAUCAUAAAAGUUUUUGACUUGAGAGUUGCGCAUGCGAAAAACAAGGAUAAGGUCAGAAAUGACUGAUUCAGAUAGAAAGAUGAUUGCACAGGGAGAUACCAAUCGUGUGGAGUCUUCCACUCUACGUAUCUGCAAGAGGAAUUCCAUGCUGACUCCGGCAGUAAUUUGCUAGGCACCACCACAAGCUGUAAGACAUGGUAUGAUUGUAUAGGAGACCUGCAUGGCCAAAUGGUUCUUCUCAAUGUCAUGAAUGCCAAGUACAUCUGCUGAAUACAGCCUUGAAAUCGUACUUGCUCAUGCUACUAUAGAGGGAAAGGCUCCUUG